Molecule: long non-coding RNA, 1469 nt
Organism: Oncorhynchus keta (chum salmon)
Lineage: Eukaryota; Metazoa; Chordata; Actinopteri; Salmoniformes; Salmonidae
Exons: 2
Source: RefSeq, a predicted model, not a curated record
GGCCCGCCUGCUCUUUGUGCUGGAUUGUUUGUGUGACUAGUGUGCACGGUUGAGGUUAACGUGUUUCCUGUUUGUGGGUUUUUGCUGGACGGUUUUAGUCCCCGUGUUUGGGGCAUUUGUUUUGUGUGCGCCCUGUGUUUUCGUGGGGUGGCUUAUGUUUGCCGUUUGUGCAUUAAAUAGCACUACCCUGAACUCUCUGCUUCUUGCGCCUGACUUCGCACCCACUACACCCAGAUCGUUACAGUUAUAAGAAACCUCCGGUGGAUGGUUAUAUUUACUCUGUCAAUACAUGGCACACAGUGGUCCUACGUGUAGCUGGUGUACGAAGUCGGGCGCAGGACAGCAGAUAUGAAUAAUAAAAGUACUUUACUCAAAAAAUACAAAUAAACAAGGCAACAAUGAGAGCCCACAAACAUGGACCCAAUUACAAUAAAUAAUCACUCACGAACAGAGGGUUACAUAAUAAACAAGUAAUUGGUGAGUGAAGCCAGGUGUGAUAAGACAACGACAGAACAAAUUGAAAAAUGAAAACUGGAUCGACGGUGGCUAGAAGGCCGGUGACGUCGACCACAGAACACCGCCCGAACAAGGAGAGGUGUCACGACUUCCGCCGAAUUCGGUCCAUCUACACACAAUGCCCCAUAAUAACAAAGUUAAAACAUGUUUUUAGAAUUUUUUUGCAGACUUAUUGAUGAAAUACAAAUCUAAUUUACACAUGUAUUAACACCCCCGAGUCAAUUCAUUUUAGAAUCACCUUUGGCAGUAAUUACAGCUGUGAGUCUUCUGGGGUUAGUCUCUAAGAGCUUUGCACACCUAGAUUGUACAAUAUUUGCCUGUAUCUUUGUAGUGACUGGGUGUAUUCAUACACCAUCCAACGUGUAAUGAAUAACUUCACCAUGCUCAAAGGGAUAUUCAAUAUCUGCUUCUUUUUUUUACCCAUCUGCUAAUACUAUACAUGUCAUCCUUUGCGAGGCAUUGGAAAACCUCCCUGGUCUUUGUUUGAAUCUGUGUUUGAAAUUCACUCAACUGAGGGACCCUACAGAACUGUAUUUAUGUGGUACAGGGAUGAGGUAGUCAUUCAAAAAUCAUGUUAAACACUAUUGCACACAGAGUGAGUCCAUGCAACUUAUUAUGUGACUUGUUUAGCAAAUGUUUACUCCUGAACUUAUUUAGGGUUGUCACGCCCUGACCGUAGAGAUCCUUUUAUUCUGUUUGUUUGGUCAGCCUGUGACUCGGGUGGGGAAGUCUAUGCUUUCUGGUUCUUUGUUUUUGGUCGGGUAUGAUUCUCAAUCAGGGACAGCUGUCUAUCAUUGUCUCUGUUUGGGAAUCAUACUUUAGGCAGCCUUUUUUAACUUUUCUCAUUUGUGGGUUGUUGUCUUUGUUAGUGGCAUGUAUAGCCUUACAGAGCUUCACGUUCGUUUUGUUUAUUGUUUUGUUGGCGACAUUUAAAAUAAAAGAAUGUACGCUUA